This 67-nucleotide transfer RNA is filed under the name Marmota monax (woodchuck). RNAcentral's name for it is "tRNA.Ala". Lineage: Eukaryota; Metazoa; Chordata; Mammalia; Rodentia; Sciuridae. The record is from RNAcentral.
GGUUGUGGCUCAGUGGUAGAGUGCUCGCAUAGCACGUGCUAGGCCCUGGGUUCCAUCCUCAGCACCA